UAUACCGUGAAACUGCGAAUGGCUCAUUAAAUCAGUUAUCGUUUAUUUGAUAGUACCUUACUACUUGGAUAACCGUGGUAAUUCUAGAGCUAAUACAUGCUGAAAACCCCAACUUCGGGAGGGGUGUAUUUAUUAGAUAAAAAACCAACGCCCUUCGGGGCUUCUUGGUGAUUCAUGAUAACUUUACGGAUCGCAUGGCCUUGCGCCGGCGACGGUUCAUUCAAAUUUCUGCCCUAUCAACUUUCGAUGGUAAGGUAUUGGCUUACCAUGGUUUCAACGGGUAACGGGGAAUUAGGGUUCGAUUCCGGAGAGGGAGCCUGAGAAACGGCUACCACAUCCAAGGAAGGCAGCAGGCGCGCAAAUUACCCAAUCCCGACACGGGGAGGUAGUGACAAUAAAUACUGAUACAGGGCUCUUUUGGGUCUUGUAAUUGGAAUGAGUACAAUUUAAACCUCUUAACGAGGAACAAUUGGAGGGCAAGUCUGGUGCCAGCAGCCGCGGUAAUUCCAGCUCCAAUAGCGUAUAUUAAAGUUGUUGCAGUUAAAAAGCUCGUAGUUGAAACUUGGGUCUGGCUGGCGGGUCCGCCUCACCGCGUGUACUUGUCCGGCCGGGCCUUCCUUCUGGAGAACCUCAUGCCCUUCACUGGGCGUGUUGGGGACCAGGACUUUUACUUUGAAAAAAUUAGAGUGUUCAAAGCAGGCCUUUGCUCGAAUACGUUAGCAUGGAAUAAUAGAAUAGGACGUGCGGUUCUAUUUUGUUGGUUUCUAGGACCGCCGUAAUGAUUAAUAGGGACAGUCGGGGGCAUCAGUAUUCAAUUGUCAGAGGUGAAAUUCUUGGAUUUAUUGAAGACUAACUACUGCGAAAGCAUUUGCCAAGGAUGUUUUCAUUAAUCAGUGAACGAAAGUUAGGGGAUCGAAGACGAUCAGAUACCGUCGUAGUCUUAACCGUAAACUAUGCCGACUAGGGAUCGGGCGAUGUUCUUUUUUUUGACUCGCUCGGCACCUUACGAGAAAUCAAAGUU
Molecule: ribosomal RNA, 1021 nt
Filed under: Pyrenochaeta nobilis
Lineage: Eukaryota; Fungi; Ascomycota; Dothideomycetes; Pleosporales; Cucurbitariaceae
Description: SSU rRNA
Rfam family: Eukaryotic small subunit ribosomal RNA
Source: RNAcentral